This 447-nucleotide ribosomal RNA is filed under the name uncultured bacterium. RNAcentral's name for it is "partial 16S ribosomal RNA". It matches the Rfam family "Bacterial small subunit ribosomal RNA", at positions 29 to 523 of the family's 1533-position model. The record is from RNAcentral.
AAUGAACGCUGGCGGCAGGCCUAACACAUGCAAGUCGAACGCACCGCAAGGUGAGUGGCAGACGGGUGAGUAACGCGUGGGAACCUUCCCUUUGGUUCAGGAUAGCCCCGGGAGACUGGGAUUAAUACUGGAUAAGAUCUACGGAUGAAAGAUUUAUCGCCGAAGGAUGGGCCCGCGUAAGAUUAGCUAGUUGGUGAGGUAAUGGCUCACCAAGGCUUUUAUCUUUAGCUGGUCUGAGAGGAUGAUCAGCCACACUGGAACUGAGACACGGUCCAGACUCCUACGGGAGGCAGCAGUGAGGAAUAUUGGACAAUGGGCGCAAGCCUGAUCCAGCCAUGCCGCGUGAGUGAUGAAGGCCUUAGGGUUGUAAAACUCUUUUAGUGGGGAAAAUAAUGAUGGUACCCACAGAAAAAGCUCCGGCUAACUUCGUGCCAGCCGCCGCGGUAA